Long non-coding RNA from Leptinotarsa decemlineata (Colorado potato beetle), 357 nucleotides. Lineage: Eukaryota; Metazoa; Arthropoda; Insecta; Coleoptera; Chrysomelidae. The record is from RefSeq and is a predicted model, not a curated record.
GAUGCUACUGAUAAUUUUUAUCAUGGCAAAGCAAGUUCUUAUAUUCCUGACGAAAUAUCUUCCGAAGCUUGGGGUUUGGAUUCUAAUGAAAGUUACUAUGCUAUUGAUAAAACUGGUCACAUUCCUGACAAAAUGUCAUCUCAAGCUUGCGCUAUGAUGUUUACAGAAUCUGGUGGUCCACUAGAUUAUUUUAACGGAUACAACUUUGUAAAUCAUACUUUUUGAUUAGAAUAGUUAUUGAAAUAUUUUUAUAUGGAAACUUGCUUGUUUGUUUCAUUCCAUUUUAUUAUUAACCACUUUUCAUUUUUUAAAUUCUACCUAAUUGAAUUAGUUUUAUACUGCUUUUUUAAAUAUUUU